This 497-nucleotide ribosomal RNA is filed under the name uncultured bacterium. RNAcentral's name for it is "partial 16S ribosomal RNA". It matches the Rfam family "Bacterial small subunit ribosomal RNA", at positions 28 to 507 of the family's 1533-position model. The record is from RNAcentral.
GAUGAACGCUGGCGGCGUGCCUAAUACAUCCAAGUCGAGCGAACAGACGAGGAGCUUGCUCCUCUGACGUUAGCGGCGGACGGGUGAGUAACACGUGGAUAACCUACCUAUAAGACUGGGAUAACUUCGGGAAACCGGAGCUAAUACCGGAUAAUAUAUUGAACCGCAUGGUUCAAUAGUGAAAGACGGUUUUGCUGUCACUUAUAGAUGGAUCCGCGCCGCAUUAGCUAGUUGGUAAGGUAACGGCUUACCAAGGCAACGAUGCGUAGCCGACCUGAGAGGGUGAUCGGCCACACUGGAACUGAGACACGGUCCAGACUCCUACGGGAGGCAGCAGUAGGGAAUCUUCCGCAAUGAGCGAAAGCUUGACGGAGCAACGCCGCGUGAGUGAUGAAGGUCUUCGGAUCGUAAAACUCUGUUAUUAGGGAAGAACAAAUGUGUAAGUAACUAUGCACGUCUUGACGGUACCUAAUCAGAAAGCCACGGCUAACUACGUG